Molecule: ribosomal RNA, 253 nt
Filed under: uncultured bacterium
Lineage: Bacteria
Description: partial 16S ribosomal RNA
Rfam family: Bacterial small subunit ribosomal RNA
Source: RNAcentral
GGCAGAGGCCCCGAGCGUUAGGCGGAAUCACUGGGCUUAAAGCGUGUGUAGGCGGGCCCGUAAGUGUCUUGUGAAAUCCCACGGCUCAACCGUGGAACUGCUGGGCAUACUGCGGGUCUUGGGCCAACUAGGGGCAGCCGGAACAAGCGGUGGAGCGGUGAAAUGCGUAGAUAUCAUUUGGAACGCCAACGGUGAAAACAGGUAGCUGGGAGUGUGCUGACGCUGAGACACGAAAGCCAGGGGAGCAAACGGG